RNAcentral lists this ribosomal RNA (433 nucleotides) under uncultured bacterium. Its description in RNAcentral is "partial 16S ribosomal RNA". It matches the Rfam family "Bacterial small subunit ribosomal RNA", at positions 29 to 507 of the family's 1533-position model. The record is from RNAcentral.
AACGAACGCUGGCGGCAUGCCUAACACAUGCAAGUCGAACGAUCCCUUCGGGGAUAGUGGCGCACGGGUGCGUAACGCGUGGGAACCUGCCCUUAGGUUCGGAAUAACUCAGAGAAAUUUGAGCUAAUACCGGAUAAUGUCUUCGGACCAAAGAUUUAUCGCCUUUGGAUGGGCCCGCGUUGGAUUAGCUAGUUGGUGGGGUAAAGGCCUACCAAGGCGACGAUCCAUAGCUGGUCUGAGAGGAUGAUCAGCCACACUGGGACUGAGACACGGCCCAGACUCCUACGGGAGGCGGCAGUGGGGAAUAUUGGACAAUGGGCGAAAGCCUGAUCCAGCAAUGCCGCGUGAGUGAUGAAGGCCUUAGGGUUGUAAAGCUCUUUUACCCGGGAUGAUAAUGACAGUACCGGGAGAAUAAGCCCCGGCUAACUCCGUG